This 497-nucleotide ribosomal RNA is filed under the name uncultured bacterium. Its description in RNAcentral is "partial 16S ribosomal RNA". It matches the Rfam family "Bacterial small subunit ribosomal RNA", at positions 28 to 507 of the family's 1533-position model. The record is from RNAcentral.
GAUGAACGCUGGCGGCGUGCCUAAUACAUGCAAGUCGAGCGAACAGACGAGGAGCUUGCUCCUCUGACGUUAGCGGCGGACGGGUGAGUAACACGUGGAUAACCUACCUAUAAGACUGGGAUAACUUCGGGAAACCGGAGCUAAUACCGGAUAAUAUAUUGAACCGCAUGGUUCAAUAGUGAAAGACGGUUUUGCUGUCACUUAUAGAUGGAUCCGCGCCGCAUUAGCUAGUUGGUAAGGUAACGGCUUACCAAGGCAACGAUGCGUAGCCGACCUGAGAGGGUGAUCGGCCAAACUGGAACUGAGGCACGGUCCAGCCUCCGACGGGAGUCAGCAGUAGGGAAUCCUCCGCAAUGGGCGAAAGCCUGACGGAGCAACGCCGCGUGAGUGAUGAAGGUCUUCGGAUCGUAAGACUCUGUUAUUAGGGAAGAACAAAUGUGUAAGUACCUAUGCACGUCUUGACGGUACCUAAUCAGAGAGCCACGGCUAACUACGUG